RNAcentral lists this ribosomal RNA (342 nucleotides) under Candidatus Accumulibacter conexus. RNAcentral's name for it is "bacterial SSU rRNA". It matches the Rfam family "Bacterial small subunit ribosomal RNA", at positions 1 to 345 of the family's 1533-position model. Lineage: Bacteria; Pseudomonadati; Pseudomonadota; Betaproteobacteria. The record is from RNAcentral.
GAACUGAAGAGUUUGAUCCUGGCUCAGAUUAAACGCUGGCGGCAUGCCUUACACAUGCAAGUCGAACGGCAGCACGGGGGCAACCCUGGUGGCGAGUGGCGGACGGGUGAGUAAAGCAUCGGAACGUAUCCUGGAGUGGGGGAUAACGUAGCGAAAGUUACGCUAAUACCGCAUAUUCUGUGAGCAGGAAAGCAGGGGAUCGCAAGACCUUGCGCUCUGGGAGCGGCCGAUGUCGGAUUAGCUAGUUGGUGGGGUAAAGGCCUACCAAGGCGACGAUCCGUAGCGGGUCUGAGAGGAUGAUCCGCCACACUGGGACUGAGACACGGCCCAGACUCCUACGGG